Molecule: ribosomal RNA, 497 nt
Filed under: uncultured bacterium
Lineage: Bacteria
Description: partial 16S ribosomal RNA
Rfam family: Bacterial small subunit ribosomal RNA
Source: RNAcentral
GACGAACGCUGGCGGCGUGCCUAAUACAUGCAAGUCGAACGAGAGCGACCGGUGCUUGCACUGGUCAAUCUAGUGGCGAACGGGUGAGUAACACGUGGGUAACCUGCCCAUCAGAGGGGGAUAACAUCCGGAAACGGAUGCUAAAACCGCAUAGGUCUUCGAACCGCAUGGUUUGAAGAGGAAAAGAGGCGCAAGCUUCUGCUGAUGGAUGGACCCGCGGUGCAUUAGCUAGUUGGUGAGGUAACGGCUCACCAAGGCCGUGAUGCAUAGCCGACCUGAGAGGGGGAUCGGCCACAUUGGGACUGAGACACGGCCCAAACUCCUACGGGAGGCAGCAGUAGGGAAUCUUCCGCAAUGGACGCAAGUCUGACGGAGCAACGCCGCGUGAGUGAAGAAGGUUUUCGGAUCGUAAAACUCUGUUGUUAGAGAAGAACAAGUGCUAGAGUAACUGUUAGCGCCUUGACGGUAUCUAACCAGAAAGCCACGGCUAACUACGU